This 24-nucleotide non-coding RNA is filed under the name Arabidopsis thaliana (thale cress). Lineage: Eukaryota; Viridiplantae; Streptophyta; Magnoliopsida; Brassicales; Brassicaceae. The record is from RNAcentral.
AGACGAAUCUCUCUUUCCUGCAUC